GCGCCCGUAGCUCAGCCGGAUAGAGUGUUGGCCUCCGAAGCCAAAGGUCGUGCGUUCGAAUCGCACCGGGUGCGCCA
This 77-nucleotide transfer RNA is filed under the name Gammaproteobacteria bacterium. Its description in RNAcentral is "tRNA-Arg". It matches the Rfam family "tRNA". Rfam says of the family: Transfer RNA (tRNA) molecules are approximately 80 nucleotides in length. RNAcentral also lists the same sequence under 3 other names. The record is from RNAcentral. Lineage: Bacteria; Pseudomonadati; Pseudomonadota; Gammaproteobacteria.